UACCAGCACCCCGAGUGGUCGGGACGUUUAUUGGGCCUAAAGCAUCCGUAGCCGGUUCUACAAGUCUUCCGUUAAAUCCAACUGCCUAACAGGUGGGCUGCGGAAGAUACUAUAGAGCUAGGAGGCGGGAGAGGCAAGCGGUACUCGAUGGGUAGGGGUAAAAUCCGUUGAUCCAUUGAAGACCACCAGUGGCGAAGGCGGCUUGCCAGAACGCGCUCGACGGUGAGGGAUGAAAGCUGGGGGAGCAAACCGG
RNAcentral lists this ribosomal RNA (253 nucleotides) under uncultured bacterium. Its description in RNAcentral is "partial 16S ribosomal RNA". It matches the Rfam family "Archaeal small subunit ribosomal RNA", at positions 474 to 727 of the family's 1478-position model. The record is from RNAcentral.